GGCGCACGGGUGAGUAACACGUAUGCAACCUACCUUUAACAGGGGAGUAACCCGUUGAAAAACGGACUAAUACUCCAUAACACAGGGGUCCCGCAUGGGAAUAUUUGUUAAAGAUUUAUCGGUUGAAGAUGGGCAUGCGUUCCAUUAGCUUGUUGGUGAGGUAACGGCUCACCAAGGCUACGAUGGAUAGGGGAACUGAGAGGUUUAUCCCCCACACUGGAACUGAGACACGGUCCAGACUCCUACGGGAGGCAGCAGUGAGGAAUAUUGGUCAAUGGAGGCAACUCUGAACCAGCCAAGUCGCGUGAAGGAUGAAGGUCUUAUGGAUUGUAAACUUCUUUUGCAAGGGAAUAAAGUGGGGGACGUGUCCUCCUUUGCAUGUACCUUGCGAAUAAGGAUCGGCUAACUCCGUGCCAGCAGCCGCGGUAAUACGGAGGAUCCGAGCGUUAUCCGGAUUUAUUGGGUUUAAAGGGUGCGCAGGCGGGAUGUUAAGUCGGCGGUGAAAUUUUGCAGCUCAACUGUAAAAGUGCCUUCGAUACUGGCUUUCUUGAGUGUGGAUGAAGUAGGCGGAAUUUGUGGUGUAGCGGUGAAAUGCUUAGAUAUCACGAGGAACUCCGAUUGCGCAGGCAGCUUACUAAACCACUACUGACGCUCAUGCACGAAGGCGUGGGGAUCAAACAGGAUUAGAUACCCUGGUAGUCUACGCAGUAAACGAUGAUUACUAGUUGUUUGCGAUACAAUGUAAGCGACUGAGCGAAAGCGUUAAGUAAUCCACCUGGGGAGUACGUUCGCAAGAAUGAAACUCAAAGGAAUUGA
RNAcentral lists this ribosomal RNA (816 nucleotides) under uncultured bacterium. RNAcentral describes it as "bacterial SSU rRNA". It matches the Rfam family "Bacterial small subunit ribosomal RNA", at positions 97 to 913 of the family's 1533-position model. The record is from RNAcentral.